GACGAACGCUGGCGGCGUGCUUAACACAUGCAAGUCGAACGGUAAGGCCCUUCGGGGUACACGAGUGGCGAACGGGUGAGUAACACGUGGGUGAUCUGCCCUGCACUUCGGGAUAAGCCUGGGAAACUGGGUCUAAUACCGGAUAUGACCAUGCGCUUCACGGUGUGUGGUGGAAAGCUUUUGCGAUGUGGGAUGGGCCCGCGGCCUAUCAGCUUGUUGGGGGGGUAAUGGCCUACCAAGGCGACGACGGGUAGCCGGCCUGAGAGGGUGACCGGCCACACUGGGACUGAGAUACGGCCCGGACUCCUACGGGAGGCAGCAGUGGGGAAUAUUGCACAAUGGGCGCAAGCCUGAUGCAGCGACGCCGCGUGAGGGAUGACGGCCUUCGGGUUGUAAACCUCUUUCAGUAGGGACGAAGCGCAAGUGACGGUACCUACAGAAGAAGGACCGGCCAACUACGUGCCAGCCGCCGCAGUAA
This 478-nucleotide ribosomal RNA is filed under the name uncultured bacterium. Its description in RNAcentral is "partial 16S ribosomal RNA". It matches the Rfam family "Bacterial small subunit ribosomal RNA", at positions 28 to 523 of the family's 1533-position model. The record is from RNAcentral.